Molecule: long non-coding RNA, 274 nt
Organism: Zingiber officinale
Lineage: Eukaryota; Viridiplantae; Streptophyta; Magnoliopsida; Zingiberales; Zingiberaceae
Exons: 3
Source: RefSeq, a predicted model, not a curated record
AUCCUGUGUAUGUUGCUUAUCAUGAUGAGGAAUGGGGAGUUCCAGUUCAUGAUGACAGGAUGUUGUUUGAGUUGCUUGUUCUAACAGGAGCUCAAGUGGGGAUGGACUGGACUACUAUACUGAAGAAGAGGAAUGAAUUCAGGGUGGCAUUUGCUGAAUUUGAUGCAGAGUCUGUCUCCAAGUUCACAGAGAAGCAGAUGGUUUCCAUCAGUGUGGAACUGAAGCUGGAUUUAGGAAGAGUUAGAGGAAUAUCACUAUCUACUUUAAAACAAAA